RNAcentral lists this ribosomal RNA (496 nucleotides) under uncultured bacterium. Its description in RNAcentral is "partial 16S ribosomal RNA". It matches the Rfam family "Bacterial small subunit ribosomal RNA", at positions 28 to 507 of the family's 1533-position model. The record is from RNAcentral.
GAUGAACGCUGGCGGCGUGCCUAAUACAUGCAAGUCGAGCGAACAGACGAGGAGCUUGCUCCUCUGACGUUAGCGGCGGACGGGUGAGUAACACGUGGAUAACCUACCUAUAAGACUGGGAUACUUCGGGAAACCGGAGCUAAUACCGGAUAAUAUAUUGAACCGCAUGGUUCAAUAGUGAAAGACGGUUUUGCUGUCACUUAUAGAUGGAUCCGCGCCGCAUUAGCUAGUUGGUAAGGUAACGGCUUACCAAGGCAACGAUGCGUAGCCGACCUGAGAGGGUGAUCGGCCACACUGGAACUGAGACACGGUCCAGACUCCUACGGGAGGCAGCAGUAGGGAAUCUUCCGCAAUGGGCGAAAGCCUGACGGAGCAACGCCGCGUGAGUGAUGAAGGUCUUCGGAUCGUAAAACUCUGUUAUUAGGGAAGAACAAAUGUGUAAGUAACUAUGCACGUCUUGACGGUACCUAAUCAGAAAGCCACGGCUAACUACGUG